Molecule: ribosomal RNA, 253 nt
Filed under: uncultured bacterium
Lineage: Bacteria
Description: partial 16S ribosomal RNA
Rfam family: Bacterial small subunit ribosomal RNA
Source: RNAcentral
GACGAACCGUGCGAACGUUGUUCGGAAUCACUGGGCUUAAAGGGCGCGUAGGCGGGCCUCCCAGUCCGGGGUGAAAGCUUUCGGCUUAACCGGAAAAGUGCCUUGGAUACUGGAGGCCUGGAGGGGGGUAGGGGCAGCCGGAACUUCCGGUGGAGCGGUGAAAUGCGUUGAUAUCGGAAGGAACGCCGGUGGCGAAAGCGGCGUGCUGGACCUCUUCUGACGCUGAGGCGCGAAAGCCAGGGGAGCAAGCGGG